This 499-nucleotide ribosomal RNA is filed under the name uncultured bacterium. Its description in RNAcentral is "partial 16S ribosomal RNA". It matches the Rfam family "Bacterial small subunit ribosomal RNA", at positions 28 to 507 of the family's 1533-position model. The record is from RNAcentral.
GACGAACGCUGGCGGCGUGCCUAAUACAUGCAAGUCGAGCGGACUGAAUGGGAGCUUGCUCUUGUUCGGUCAGCGGCGGACGGGUGAGUAACACGUGGGCAACCUGCCCGCAAGACCGGGAUAACUCCGGGAAACCGGAGCUAAUACCGGAUAACACCGAAGACCGCAUGGUCUUUGGUUGAAAGGCGGCGCAAGCUGCCACUUGCGGAUGGGCCCGCGGCGCAUUAGCUAGUUGGUGAGGUAACGGCUCACCAAGGCGACGAUGCGUAGCCGGCCUGAGAGGGUGACCGGCCACACUGGGACUGAGACACGGCCCAGACUCCUACAGGAGGCAGCAGUAGGGAAUCUUCCGCAAUGGGCGAAAGCCUGACGGAGCGACGCCGCGUGAGCGAAGAAGGCCUUCGGGUCGUAAAGCUCUGUUGUGAGGGACGAAGGAGCGCCGUUUGAAGAAGGCGGCGCGGUGACGGUACCUCACGAGGAAGCCCCGGCUAACUACGUG